AAAGUCGUAACAAGGUCUCCGUUGGUGAACCAGCGGAGGGAUCAUUAUCGAGUUAUUCAACUCCCAAACCCUAUGUGAACUUACCACUUGUUGCUUCGGCGCGCGCUUCGGCGCCGCCGAGGACACUUAAACUCUUUGUUUUUAUAAGCAUUUCUGAGUGGCCGAAAGGCAAAAAUACAAAUGAAUCAAAACUUUCAACAACGGAUCUCUUGGUUCUGGCAUCGAUGAAGAACGCAGCGAAAUGCGAUAAGUAAUGUGAAUUGCAGAAUUCAGUGAAUCAUCGAAUCUUUGAACGCACAUUGCGCCCGCCAGCAUUCUGGCGGGCAUGCCUGUUCGAGCGUCAUUUCAACCCUCGAGCCCGACUCUUUUGAGGACGGCUCGGCGUUGGGGGACGGCAGACUCCCCCCGGCAUCUCGCCGGGGACGCCGCCCCCGAAAUCUAGUGGCGGCCCUCCGAGGCGACCUCUGCGUAGUAACUUGUUCUCGCACCGGAAAGCUCAGAGCGGCCACGCCGUAAAACCCCAACUUUUUUCAGGUUGACCUCGAAUCAGGUAGGACUACCCGCUGAACUUAAC
This 574-nucleotide ribosomal RNA is filed under the name fungal sp. HU12. Its description in RNAcentral is "eukaryotic LSU rRNA". The stretch from base 190 to 343 matches the Rfam family "5.8S ribosomal RNA". The record is from RNAcentral. Lineage: Eukaryota; Fungi.